Molecule: ribosomal RNA, 513 nt
Filed under: uncultured bacterium
Lineage: Bacteria
Description: bacterial SSU rRNA
Rfam family: Bacterial small subunit ribosomal RNA
Source: RNAcentral
CCGCAAUGCACGAAAGUGUGACGGAGCGACGCCGCGUGGAGGAGAAGCCCUUCGGGGUGUAAACUCCUGUCAGGGGUUACCAAGUUCUGAGGAGCCCCAGAGGAAGGCACGGCUAACUCUGUGCCAGCAGCCGCGGUAAGACAGAGGUGCCGAGCGUUAGGCGGAAUCACUGGGCUUAAAGCGUGUGUAGGCGGAGUGCUAAGUACCUUGUGAAAUCCCACGGCUCAACCGUGGAACUGCUUGGUAUACUGGUUCUCUUGAGCCACUUAGGGGCAACCGGAACAAACGGUGGAGCGGUGAAAUGCGUAGAUAUCGUUUGGAACGCCAAUGGUGAAAACAGGUUGCUGGGAGUGUGCUGACGCUGAGACACGAAAGCCAGGGGAGCGAACGGGAUUAGAUACCCCGGUAGUCCUGGCCGUAAACGAUGUCGACUAGAUCGUAGUGCCUCUGACGGUGUUACGGUCGAAGCAAAAGUGCUAAGUCGACCGCCUGGGAAGUACGGUCGCAAGGCUA